UACGUAUGGUGCAAGCGUUAUCCGGAUUUACUGGGUGUAAAGGGAGCGCAGGCGGCACGGCAAGCCUGAUGUGAAAGCCCGCGGCCCAACCGCGGGACUGCAUUGGGAACUACCGGGCUGGAGUGCCGGAGAGGUAGGCGGAAUUCCUAGUGUAGCGGUGAAAUGCGUAGAUAUUAGGAGGAACACCAGUGGCGAAGGCGGCCUACUGGACGGUGACUGACGCUGGGGCUCGAAAGCGUGGGUAGCAAACAGG
This 253-nucleotide ribosomal RNA is filed under the name uncultured bacterium. Its description in RNAcentral is "partial 16S ribosomal RNA". It matches the Rfam family "Bacterial small subunit ribosomal RNA", at positions 524 to 776 of the family's 1533-position model. The record is from RNAcentral.